This 253-nucleotide ribosomal RNA is filed under the name uncultured bacterium. RNAcentral describes it as "partial 16S ribosomal RNA". It matches the Rfam family "Bacterial small subunit ribosomal RNA", at positions 524 to 776 of the family's 1533-position model. The record is from RNAcentral.
UACGUAGGGUGCAAGCGUUAAUCGGAAUUACUGGGCGUAAAGCGUGCGCAGGCGGUUAUGUAAGACAGAUGUGAAAUGCCCGGGCUUAACCUGGGAACUGCAUUUGUGACUGCAUGGCUAGAGUUUGGCAGAGGGGGGUAGAAUUCCACGUGUAGCAGUGAAAUGCGUAGAUAUGUGGAGGAACACCGGUGGCGAAGGCGGCUCUCUGGGCCGAUACUGACGCUGAGGAGCGAAAGCGUGGGGAGCGAACAGG